GACGAGGAAGCCAUGGAGAGGCGUGCGGCUUUUAACCGCGUUAGAGCAAGGCGUUAGCUCUCGUUA
RNAcentral lists this transfer RNA (66 nucleotides) under Spirobranchus giganteus. RNAcentral describes it as "tRNA-Lys". Lineage: Eukaryota; Metazoa; Annelida; Polychaeta; Sabellida; Serpulidae. The record is from RNAcentral.